GGACGAACGCUGGCGGCGUGUUUAACUCAUGCAAUUCGAACGUAAAGGCCCUUCUUUUGUGGGGUGCUCGCGUGGCGAACGGGUGAGUAACACGUGAGUUACCUGCCCUUGACUUUGGGAUAACUUCAGUGAACUGGGGCUAAUACUGGAUAGGAGCUCCUGGUGCGUGGUGGGGGGUGGAAAGUUGCGGCGGUUGGGUAUGGAGUCGCGGGUUAUCAGCUUGUUGGUGGGGUAGUGGCUUACGGCGGUUUUGACGGGUAGUCGGCCUGUGAGGUUGACCGGCAACAUUGGGACUGAGAUACGCCCCAGACUCCUACGGGAGGCAGUCGUCGCGAAUAUUGCACAAUAGUCGGAAGCCUGAUGCAGCAACGCCGCGAGCGGGAUAACAGCCUUCAGGUUGUGAACCGCUUUCGCCUAUGACGAAGCGUGAGUGACGAUAAUGGCUAAAGAAGCACCGGCUAACUACGUG
This 469-nucleotide ribosomal RNA is filed under the name uncultured bacterium. RNAcentral's name for it is "partial 16S ribosomal RNA". It matches the Rfam family "Bacterial small subunit ribosomal RNA", at positions 27 to 507 of the family's 1533-position model. The record is from RNAcentral.